GACGAACGCUGGCGGCGUGCUUAACACAUGCAAGUCGGGCGGUAAGGCCCUUUCGGGGGUACACGAGCGGCGAACGGGUGAGUAACACGUGGGUGACCUGCCCUUAGCUCUGGGAUAAGCCUGGGAAACUGGGUCUAAUACCGGAUAUGACUCCAUGACGCAUGGUUGUGGGGUGGAAAGCCUUGUGCGGCUAGGGGAUGGGCCCGCGGCCUAUCAGCUUGUUGGUGGGUNAUGGCCUACCAAGGCGACGACGGGUAGCCGGCCUGAGAGGGCGACCGGCCACACUGGGACUGAGACACGGCCCAGACUCCUACGGGAGGCAGCAGUGGGGAAUCUUGCGCAAUGGGCGAAAGCCUGACGCAGCGACGCCGCGUGAGGGAUGACGGCCUCGGUGUAAC
RNAcentral lists this ribosomal RNA (398 nucleotides) under uncultured bacterium. RNAcentral's name for it is "bacterial SSU rRNA". It matches the Rfam family "Bacterial small subunit ribosomal RNA", at positions 28 to 429 of the family's 1533-position model. The record is from RNAcentral.